Molecule: ribosomal RNA, 253 nt
Filed under: uncultured bacterium
Lineage: Bacteria
Description: partial 16S ribosomal RNA
Rfam family: Bacterial small subunit ribosomal RNA
Source: RNAcentral
UACGUAGGGGCCUAGCGUUGUCCGGAUUUAUUGGGCGUAAAGAGCGUGUAGGCGGCCUGAAAGGUCAGCUGUGAAAACUCGGGGCUCAACCCCGAGACGUCGGUUGAAACCAUCUGGCUAGAGUCCGGAAGAGGAGUGUGGAAUUCCCGGUGUAGCGGUGAAAUGCACAGAUAUCGGGAAGAACACCCGUGGCGAAGGCGGCACUCUGGGACGGUACUGACGCUGAGACGCGAAAGCGUGGGGAGCGAACAGG